RNAcentral lists this ribosomal RNA (497 nucleotides) under uncultured bacterium. Its description in RNAcentral is "partial 16S ribosomal RNA". It matches the Rfam family "Bacterial small subunit ribosomal RNA", at positions 28 to 507 of the family's 1533-position model. The record is from RNAcentral.
GAUGAACGCUGGCGGCGUGCCUAAUACAUGCAAGUCGAGCGAACGGACGAGAAGCUUGCUUCUCUGAUGUUAGCGGCGGACGGGUGAGUAACACGUGGAUAACCUACCUAUAAGACUUGGAUAACUUCGGGAAACCGUAGCUAAUACCGGAUAAUAUUUUGAACCGCAUUGUUCAAAAGUGAAAGACGGUCUUUCUGUCACUUAUAGAUGGAUCCGCGCUGCAUUAGCUAGUUGGUAAGGUAACGGCUUACCAAGGCAACGAUGCAUAUCCGACCUGAGAGGGUGAUCGGCCAAACUGGAACUGAGACACGGUCAAGACUACUACGGGAGGCAGCAGUAGGGAAUAUUCCGCAAUGGGCGAAAGCAUGACGGAGCAACGCCGCGUGAGAGAUGAAGGUCUUCGGAUCGUAAAACUCUGUUAUUAGGGAAGAAAAUAUGUGUAAGUAACUGUGCACAUCUUGACGGUACCUAAUCAGAAAGCCACGGCUAACUACGUG